AGAGUUUGAUCCUGGCUCAGAAUCAACGCUGGCGGCGUGCCUAACACAUGCAAGUCGAACGCGAAAGCCCCGCAAGGGGUGAGUAGAGUGGCAAACGGGUGAGUAACACGUGGGUGACCUGCCUUCGAGUGGGGGAUAACGUCCCGAAAGGGACGCUAAUACCGCAUGACAUCCUGCUUUUGGAAAAGCGGAGAUCAAAGCCGGGGAUCGCAAGACCUGGCGCUUGAAGAGGGGCCCGCGCCUGAUUAGCUAGUUGGUAGGGUAACGGCCUACCAAGGCAACGAUCAGUAUCCGGCCUGAGAGGGCGGACGGACAAACUGGGACUGAGACACGGCCCAGACUCCUACGGGAGGCAGCAGUGGGGAAUUGUUCGCAAUGGGCGCAAGCCUGACGACGCAACGCCGCGUGGAGGACGAAGAUCUUCGGGUCGUAAACUCCUGUCGAGCGGGAAGAAUACCCAUCCGGUGAAUAGCCGGGAGGGCUGACGGUACCGCUAAAGGAAGCCCCGGCUAACUCCGUGCCAGCAGCCGCGGCAAUACGGGGGGGGCAAAGCGUUGUUU
Molecule: ribosomal RNA, 560 nt
Filed under: uncultured Acidobacteriota bacterium
Lineage: Bacteria; Pseudomonadati; Acidobacteriota
Description: bacterial SSU rRNA
Rfam family: Bacterial small subunit ribosomal RNA
Source: RNAcentral